This 253-nucleotide ribosomal RNA is filed under the name uncultured bacterium. RNAcentral describes it as "partial 16S ribosomal RNA". It matches the Rfam family "Bacterial small subunit ribosomal RNA", at positions 524 to 776 of the family's 1533-position model. The record is from RNAcentral.
UACAGAGGUCUCAAGCGUUGUUCGGAUUCAUUGGGCGUAAAGGGUGCGUAGGCGGCUUGUUAAGUCAGGGGUGAAAGUUUUCGGCCCAACCGGAAAAUUGCCUUUGAUACUGGCGAGCUUGAGUGCGUGAGGGAUGGGGGGAACGAGCAGUGUAGCGGUGAAAUGCGUAGAUAUUGCUCGGAAGGCCAGAGCCGAAGGGGCCCCAUUGGUACGUAACUGACGCUGAGGCACGAAAGCGUGGGGAGCAAACAGG